GGAUCUAUAGCUCAGUCGGUAGAGCAACGGCCUUUUAAGCCGCUGGUCGUGGGUUCGAAUCCCACUGGAUCCACCA
RNAcentral lists this transfer RNA (76 nucleotides) under Candidatus Altimarinota bacterium. RNAcentral's name for it is "tRNA-Lys". It matches the Rfam family "tRNA". From Rfam's summary of the family: Transfer RNA (tRNA) molecules are approximately 80 nucleotides in length. Their secondary structure includes four short double-helical elements and three loops (D, anti-codon, and T loops). Further hydrogen bonds mediate the characteristic L-shaped molecular structure. tRNAs have two regions of fundamental functional importance: the anti-codon, which is responsible for specific mRNA codon recognition, and the 3' end, to which the tRNAs corresponding amino acid is attached (by aminoacyl-tRNA synthetases). tRNAs cope with the degeneracy of the genetic code in two manners: having more than one tRNA (with a specific anti-codon) for a particular amino acid; and 'wobble' base-pairing, i.e. permitting non-standard base-pairing at the 3rd anti-codon position. Lineage: Bacteria; Candidatus Altimarinota. RNAcentral also lists the same sequence under 1 other name. The record is from RNAcentral.